UGCGGAUUGAUGUAAUAGUAACAUAACUGGCUCAUGACCAGUAGAUAGAGGUGCAAGUCCUCUGUCCGCAU
Non-coding RNA from Pyrenophora teres f. teres 0-1, 71 nucleotides. The record is from Rfam. NCBI's taxonomy places the organism in Eukaryota, Fungi, Ascomycota, Dothideomycetes, Pleosporales, Pleosporaceae.